RNAcentral lists this transfer RNA (64 nucleotides) under Scyllarides latus (Mediterranean slipper lobster). RNAcentral's name for it is "tRNA-Arg". The record is from RNAcentral. Lineage: Eukaryota; Metazoa; Arthropoda; Malacostraca; Decapoda; Scyllaridae.
AAUUAGAAAGCGAACAAUUGCUCUUAGUUUCGGCCUAAGGUUUGACCAAAUAGGUCUCUAAUUA